This 1680-nucleotide long non-coding RNA is filed under the name Theropithecus gelada (gelada). Its description in RNAcentral is "lncRNA (ENSTGEG00000002417.1)". Lineage: Eukaryota; Metazoa; Chordata; Mammalia; Primates; Cercopithecidae. The record is from RNAcentral.
CGGCCGCGCAAAUAGUCCCAGCGGCUUCUCUCUCGGGUCGGGCCGCCCUUGGGGGCCUUUCACUUCACGGCUCAUCUUUGGUGCUGUCUUCAGAGUUGCCGGACGCAGGUGACAAGACAAUCAUUUCCAUCAUGUCCUUGCCCCUUUUUGUCAGCCCCAGAGACAACGUCUCCUCGCUUGUUCGGGAAGAUUCUAGCGGAAGCAGGCAGUAUUCCUUUCCCUAAGCAUGAAAUGGGGUUUCCCAAACAGGCAUGUGUAUUGGACGCCUCUGGCGGAGAGCAGGCUGGCGCCGAGGCCCGGCCUUGAGAGCGGCGCGCACUAUAAAGCGGCGCGUGCUGCAACCCGCGUCCGCUUUGUAGAGAGAAAUGCUGGGGUGCAGCUUCAAGCUUAGGACUACCCACCAUGGCCAUCCAGGUGCUGAAGGGCCUGACCGUCACUUGCGUCCCUCCAGGCUUUCUGCUGUUUUCUGCCUAGGGGUGGCUACAGCCAUGGCUAGGAAAGUGCUGCACCCACCCUCCUGGGCCGGAGCUGGUUCUGCUCCUGCUACAGGGAUACUGAGCUCCUGGCUGUCUCAGCGCUUCGGGCAAGAACCUCAACAAGCUCUCCUGGGCCCUGCAGUUGUACUGCCGGGCCCCUGCCUUGUGCUUCAUCUCAAGAACUGCUGCUGCUGGUGGACCUGAUCCGACCUGACAACGUGCCAUUUUCAGCUACCACUGCAAGGCCCUGAGGGCAACAGCAGCGCGGCACUGCCCACCUGGCUGCUGGUGGCCUGGUGCCAGCUGGGAGUCCUCCCAGCACUUCGAGGCCACUGAGCCGCCCUUCCAGCCCUGGCCCACCGUGGAGAGGGGUAUCCAGCUUCCUCUUCAACCUCAUCGUCUGCCCCCGAGCCAGUGACUCCCAAGGACAUGCCUGUUAGGUUACCCAGCGCCUGUACCAGCGCCAGCUGGUCAAGGGCAUGACGUUGUUCUAGGUCAUCCUGGACAUCCAGGCCAUUGCCGACAGCAGGCUGCUUUCCAUGAGCCAGAGGCUGCCAGGCUCACGCUAGGACCCAACCCAGUGCACAAGGACCUGGCUGCUGAGCCGCACACCCAGGAGAAGGUAGAUAGGUGGGCUACCAAGGGCUUCCUGCAGGCUAGGGGAGGAGUCAGCCUGCUCCCCUGUUCUGACCAGGCCUGUGGGGAGGAGCUGCCCAUAUGCCGCCAUGAGACCUGGGCCUGGCUCCGGAGGACAGAUACCGCCUGGCCUGGUGCUCCAGGGGUGAAGCAGGCCAGAAUCCUGGGGGAGCUGCUCCUGGUUUGAGCUGCAAUCAGGAAGUGCGGGACAGGGUAGGGGAGGCAAAAAGCCUUGGGCAGUACCCUCCCCGUGGAGCCAUUCAGCAUCCCUCGAGCUGGCCACACCCUGACACUAUGUUCAAGGGCUCCGGAAGAGAGGGGUGUCUGUCCCCAACCUCUCCCCAGUGGGUGUCACUGGCCAGACGUUAUGAGGCGAGCAGGCUGCGUGAGUGGACACUUACCAUGAGUCCCUGGGGGGAGUGAUUCCCGCAGGCAUUGUGUGCCAUAUUACAUUUCUGCCCAGGCAGCAGGGUAGUGGGUACCAUGGGUGCCCACCCCUCCACCACAUGGAGCCCCAAAGCACUGCAGGCCAAGCAGGGAGACCCCACACCCAUGACAUAAAAGCAUC